This is a non-coding RNA of Lactuca sativa (garden lettuce), 1709 nucleotides long. Lineage: Eukaryota; Viridiplantae; Streptophyta; Magnoliopsida; Asterales; Asteraceae. The record is from RefSeq and is a predicted model, not a curated record.
UGUAAUCUAUUUCAAUUUCAAGUCUCCACAGCUUCCACCGUUCUUCUCAGAUACUGUAAUUCCACCUUCGUAACAAGCGACAGAAGGAUUGACUGCUAGAUUUGAGGUGUGAUGUGCGACGGGUGUCGUUUGGCCGCCGGUAUCCGUAUUUCAGUUUUCGCCUCCCUCUCCCGAACCAGAGCACCACUGAUUUAACAUGCCAAAAUCAGAGAUGUCGAUCCUUCUUCAAAAAGCAGACGAUGCUUUCUCCACAACUUCCUCUACCGGUGCAACUACAGUUAUGCUUCCAGUGGCAAUGUAGCUAGGUUCGAUCUAAUGUAGCAGGAUGCUGAUCAAUUUGUUGAUGUAAGCCCUAAUUUCUUUUCAAUUUUGGGUUUUGGAAAGCAUAAUCUUUGCUAUGGACUGAUGAUUGUUCCUAUAUUAAUAUAUGGUCUUAUUUUUCUUUUUUGAGAUUGUCUAAAACUCCCAUAUUUGGCUUUUACCUGUUUUCGAUAUGCUUUAAAUCUCAUCGACUCUUAACUGUGUUUGUGGUAGCUAGCAUAGUCAGGUGAAUCUGUGAUGUAGAUGAAAGGAACAUAAACAGAUAGAGGUGCGGGAUCAUCAAUGUGAACGGAAAGAUUGGUCCACUUACAUUUCAAAGAAAAUAUCAACCACAUCUUUUAUGGACACUUGAACAUGUUAAAAAGAACACAGAAGACCAAACACAUCAAAAUGUAGAUGCUCGGUCAAAGGCCAGUUUGAUGGUGUUGCAGCUGAGCCUAGAAAGAGAAUAAGAAGUGGCCAUGUGCCUGGGAUCAAGUGCAUUCCUUUUGCUCAGGGAAUCAUAAAUCGUCUGUAAAUGAGAGUAAAAAAAAUAAGGGCAAAUUUGUAAAAAAGUUGGGAAUAAUGUGGAAAAGUAAAAACCUCAUUUUCCUGACCUACUUUUUUAUUUAAUCAAAGCGUUCUGUCUGCAUUAAGUAAAAACUAAACACCUAUAUAUUUUUAUAAAUGUUUCUUGGUUUUGUUGAUUCUUACAAGAGGCUCAAUUAAAGUCAUUAAGUUUUUAUAAAAAGAAGUAGAAAAGGAAACCAUACAUGAUUGUAAUUAGGUGAAAACUCAAAUUUACCUUGACAUGCUCAAUAUCUUCCUCAAUAACACAACAUGUAUAUUCAUCAUAUUAAUUGCGUCCUAUCAGUUUUCUCCUCAUGCGAUUGAGAUUCUACAUUUUUUUUUGGAACGGAUAUUGGAUGUGUAGGCCUUAAUUUUGGAAUUCUUUUGUCCAAUUGGUGCCUAAUCCACUUGAACUUGACAAUUUUGCCCUUGACCAAUCUAACAAGGACGAAAAGGUAACCAUUAAUAUCGAUAAAGUUCUUCACAUUUCUUUGUUUAAUACUUUAUAUCCCAAUGGCUAUAUGAUGCCUAACAAUUUUUGAAAGUUGAAGUGUGUGUGGUUGUAUGGAUGCGUAUGUAAGCUGAUUUUUUUGGCAUAUUCAAAAGAUCUAUUGUUAACCAGAAAUGAAGGGCAUGGACAAUUAACGAAAUUAAGAAAUAGCAAUGUACAUUCAUUAUUUUAUACAAUACUGCCACAUAUUUGGCUAUUAUACGUUUCUAAAUGGGUGAAUUGUAGAGAGAAUAGCAACAUACUUUACUAUGGCUACCAAUUCAGACAAUGUACUAUACUUUCACACAAAACCAAGAAACAUUUAUAAAAAAGUAUGUAUAUUUUUGUU